This 468-nucleotide ribosomal RNA is filed under the name uncultured bacterium. RNAcentral describes it as "partial 16S ribosomal RNA". It matches the Rfam family "Bacterial small subunit ribosomal RNA", at positions 28 to 507 of the family's 1533-position model. The record is from RNAcentral.
GACGAAUGCUGGCGGCGUGCUUAACACAUGCAAGUCGAACGGAAAGGCCCUGCUUUUGUGGGGUGCGCGAGUGGCGAACGGGUGAGUAACACGUGAGUAACCUGCCCUUGACUUUGGGAUAACUUCAGGAAACUGGGGCUAAUACCGGAUAGGAGCUCCUGCUGCAUGGUGGGGGUUGGAAAGUUUCGGCGGUUGGGGAUGGACUCGCGGCUUAUCAGCUUGUUGGUGGGGUAGUGGCUUACCAAGGCUUUGACGGGUAGCCGGCCUGAGAGGGUGACCGGCCACAUUGGGACUGAGAUGCGGCCCAGACUCAUACGGGAGGCAGCAGUGGGGAAUAUUGCACAAUGGGCGGAAGCCUGAUGCAGCAACGCCGCGUGCGGGAUGACGGCCUUCGGGUUGUAAACCGCUUUCGCCUGUGACGAAGCGUGAGUGACGGUAAUGGGUAAAGAAGCAACGGCUAACUACGUG